Molecule: long non-coding RNA, 617 nt
Organism: Bombina bombina (fire-bellied toad)
Lineage: Eukaryota; Metazoa; Chordata; Amphibia; Anura; Bombinatoridae
Exons: 2
Source: RefSeq, a predicted model, not a curated record
AGCUAGGGCACAUUCCCAGCAGCAGCUAAGAGGCCCUAGCAAAUCCAGGUGGUGAAGCCAAAAUGUCAGCCAAUCCUAAAGAGUUUUGAGAGCUUAAACAAAAAAUAAUACCUUACCUUGCACCUACGUAUGCUCACCUGGAUCCUGAAAGUCAAGCAGAAUAACCUGAUACUUGUUCCUGAAGAUGUGCCUGUUGUACCUAUCAGUUAUCCUGCAGCAGUCUCACCAACAGUACCUGCUGCUGCUGAGAAAUCUGUGUCCACCAUACCAGUGACAGCCUUUGUUAAACCAUCUGUGCCUACUGUUCCUGAAGAUGCGCCUGUUGUACCUAUCUGGAAUCCUGUGACAGUCUCACCAACAGUACCCUCUGGGUAUCCUGUGCCUGCUGGGAAACCUGUGUCUACCAUACCAGUGACAGCCUUCCUCAAACCAGUUAUGCCUGAUGUUCCCAUCAGGUAUUCUGUGCCAUAUUACAUUUUGCUGCUCAUUUAAAACACCAGUGUCUAUUGGACUUGGUCAUUACCAAAAGACUUUGCAUAAGACCUUUUCUGUGAUCUUCAACCUGAACUACCAACUGUUCCUUUUACUUAUCAAACAGUAAAGCUUUGAAGAAAGAC